GAUGAACGCUGGCGGCGUGCCUAAUACAUGCAAGUCGAGCGAACGGACGAGAAGCUUGCUUUUCUGAUGUUAGCGGCGGACGGGUGAGUAACACGUGGAAAACCUACCUAUAAGACUGGGAUAACUUCGGGAAACCGGAGCUAAUACCGGAUAAUAUUUUGAACCGCAUGGUUCAAAAGUGAAAGACGGUCUUGCUGUCACUUAUAGAUGGAUCCGCGCUGCAUUAGCUAGUUGGUAAGGUAACGGCUUACCAAGGCAACGAUGCAUAGCCGACCUGAGAGGGUGAUCGGCCACACUGGAACUGAGACACGGUCCAGACUCCUACGGGAGGCAGCAGUAGGGAAUCUUCCGCAAUGGGCGAAAGCCUGACGGAGCAACGCCGCGUGAGUGAUGAAGGUCUUCGGAUCGUAAAACUCUGUUAUUAGGGAAGAACAUAUGUGUAAGUAACUGUGCACAUCUUGACGGUACCUAAUCAGAAAGCCACGGCUAACUACGUG
RNAcentral lists this ribosomal RNA (497 nucleotides) under uncultured bacterium. RNAcentral's name for it is "partial 16S ribosomal RNA". It matches the Rfam family "Bacterial small subunit ribosomal RNA", at positions 28 to 507 of the family's 1533-position model. The record is from RNAcentral.